RNAcentral lists this ribosomal RNA (529 nucleotides) under uncultured bacterium. Its description in RNAcentral is "bacterial SSU rRNA". It matches the Rfam family "Bacterial small subunit ribosomal RNA", at positions 981 to 1509 of the family's 1533-position model. The record is from RNAcentral.
UUGACAUACUAAGAACUUUCCAGAGAUGGAUUGGUGCCUUCGGGAACUUAGAUACAGGUGCUGCAUGGCUGUCGUCAGCUCGUGUCGUGAGAGUGUUGGGUUAAGUCCCGCAACGAGCGCAACCUUUUCCUAUUUGCCAGCGGGUCAUGCCGGGAACUUUUAAGGAUACUGCCAGUGACAAACUGGAGGAAGGCGGGGACGACGUCAAGUCAUCAUGGCCCUUACGGCCAGGGCUACACACGUGCUACAAUGGUCGGUACAAAGGGUUGCUACCUCGCGAGAGGAUGCUAAUCUCAAAAAGCCGAUCGUAGUCCGGAUCGCAGUCUGCAACUCGACUGCGUGAAGUCGGAAUCGCUAGUAAUCGCGGAUCAGAAUGCCGCGGUGAAUACGUUCCCGGGCCUUGUACACACCGCCCGUCACACCAUGGGAGUUUGUUGCACCAGAAGUAGGUAGUCUAACCGCAAGGAGGACGCUUACCACGGUGUGGCCGAUGACUGGGGUGAAGUCGUAACAAGGUAAGCGUAGAUGA